RNAcentral lists this ribosomal RNA (450 nucleotides) under uncultured Allobrachymonas sp. RNAcentral's name for it is "bacterial SSU rRNA". It matches the Rfam family "Bacterial small subunit ribosomal RNA", at positions 925 to 1382 of the family's 1533-position model. Lineage: Bacteria; Pseudomonadati; Pseudomonadota; Betaproteobacteria; Burkholderiales; Comamonadaceae. The record is from RNAcentral.
ACAAGCGGUGGAUGAUGUGGUUUAAUUCGAUGCAACGCGAAAACCUUACCACCUUUGACAUGGCAGGAAUCCUGAAGAGAUUGGGAGUGCUCGAAAGAGAACCUGCACACAGGUGCUGCAUGGCUGUCGUCAGCUCGUGUCGUGAGAUGUUGGGUUAAGUCCCGCAACGAGCGCAACCCUUGCCAUUAGUUGCUACGAAAGGGCACUCUAAUGGGACUGCCGGUGACAAACCGGAGGAAGGUGGGGAUGACGUCAAGUCCUCAUGGCCCUUAUAGGUGGGGCUACACACGUCAUACAAUGGCCGGUACAGAGGGUAGCCAACCCGCGAGGGGGAGCCAAUCCCACAAAGCCGAUCGUAGUCCGGAUUGUUCUCUGCAACUCGAGAGCAUGAAGUCGGAAUCGCUAGUAAUCGCAGGUCAGCAUACUGCGGUGAAUACGUUCCCGGGUCUU